UUCUCAGUUCGGAUUGCAGGCUGCAACUCGCCUGCAUGAAGCUGGAAUCGCUAGUAAUCGCGGAUCAGCAUGCCGCGGUGAAUACGUUCCCGGGCCUUGUACACACCGCCCGUCACACCACGAGAGUUUGUAACACCCGAAGUCGGUGAGGUAACCUUUUGGAGCCAGCCGCCUAAGGUGGGACAGAUGAUUGGGGUGAAGUCGUAACAAGGUAGCCGUAUCGGAAGGUGCGGCUGGAUCACCUCCUUUCUAAGGA
This 256-nucleotide ribosomal RNA is filed under the name Rossellomorea vietnamensis. Its description in RNAcentral is "Bacillus vietnamensis partial 16S ribosomal RNA". It matches the Rfam family "Bacterial small subunit ribosomal RNA", at positions 1285 to 1533 of the family's 1533-position model. The record is from RNAcentral. Lineage: Bacteria; Bacillati; Bacillota; Bacilli; Caryophanales; Bacillaceae.